Molecule: non-coding RNA, 21 nt
Organism: Caenorhabditis elegans
Lineage: Eukaryota; Metazoa; Nematoda; Chromadorea; Rhabditida; Rhabditidae
Source: Ensembl
UUAUGACAUUCCUUGUAGAAA